Pelobates cultripes (western spadefoot toad) is the source of this 278-nucleotide non-coding RNA. The record is from the annotation of a GenBank genome assembly. Lineage: Eukaryota; Metazoa; Chordata; Amphibia; Anura; Pelobatidae.
AUUAAGUACGAUUAUCUUUUACCAUAUACUUUUGCUCAUGAUUAGACAAAUACAAGGGAGUUUUUUUGGCCUUUUGCAAAGACUGUUCAUAGAAAAAUAGAAAGUGACGGCAGAUAAGAACCAUUCGGCCCAUCUAGUCUGCCCAAUUUUCUAAAUACUUUCAUUAGUUCCUGGCCCCAUCUUAUAGUUAGGAUAGCUAUAUGCCUAUCCCACGUAUGCUUAAAUUCCUUUACUGUGUUAACCUCUACCACUUCAGCUGGAAGUCUAUUCCAUGUAUC